UGGGUAACGUGCCCCGAUGACUGGGACAACCCGGGGAAACCCGGGCUAAUACCGGAUAUGCCCCCUGACAUCUGUCAGGUGUGUAAAGGAAGCUUCGGCCUCCGCAUCGGGAUCGGCCCGCGGCGCAUUAGCUUGUUGGUGGGGUAAUGGCCUACCAAGGCGACGACGGGUAGCCGGCCUGAGAGGGUGACCGGCCACACUGGGACUGAGACACGGCCCAGACUCCUACGGGAGGCAG
Molecule: ribosomal RNA, 238 nt
Filed under: uncultured bacterium
Lineage: Bacteria
Description: partial 16S ribosomal RNA
Rfam family: Bacterial small subunit ribosomal RNA
Source: RNAcentral